UACUAUUGUCAGUCUCACAGG
RNAcentral lists this non-coding RNA (21 nucleotides) under Caenorhabditis elegans. The record is from RNAcentral. Lineage: Eukaryota; Metazoa; Nematoda; Chromadorea; Rhabditida; Rhabditidae.